GGAGGGGGCGAGCGUUAUUCGGAUUUACUGGGCGUAAAGCGCACGUAGGCGGCUAGGUAUGUCGAAGGUGAAAGCCCUCGACUCAACCGAGGAACUGCCUUUGAAACUGCUUGGCUUGAGUCCGGGAGAGGGGAGCGGAAUUCCCAGUGUAGCGGUGAAAUGCGUAGAUACUGGGAGGAACACCGGUGGCGAAGGCGGCUCCCUGGACCGGCACUGACGCUGAGGUGCGAAAGCGUGAGUAGCAAACAGGAUUAGAUACCCUGGUAGUCCACGCCGUAAACGAUGGGCACUAGGUGCAGCGGGUGUCGACCCCCUGCUGUGCCGAAGCUAACGCAUUAAGUGCCCCGCCUGGGGAGUACGGUCGCAAGGCUG
This 372-nucleotide ribosomal RNA is filed under the name uncultured organism. RNAcentral's name for it is "partial 16S ribosomal RNA". It matches the Rfam family "Bacterial small subunit ribosomal RNA", at positions 527 to 896 of the family's 1533-position model. The record is from RNAcentral.